Molecule: ribosomal RNA, 505 nt
Filed under: uncultured bacterium
Lineage: Bacteria
Description: partial 16S ribosomal RNA
Rfam family: Bacterial small subunit ribosomal RNA
Source: RNAcentral
GACGAACGCUGGCGGCGUGCCUAAUACAUGCAAGUAGAACGCACAGUUUAUACCGUAGCUUGGUACACCAUAGACGAAGAGUUGCGAACGAGUGGGUAACGCGUAGGUAACCUGCCGGGUAGCGUGGGAUAACUAGUGGAAACGAUAGCUAAUACCGCAUAAUAUUGAUUAUUGCAUGAUAAUUAACUGAAGGGUGCAAUUGCACCACGACCAGAUGGACUUGCGGUGGAUUAGCUAGUAGGUGAGGUAACGGCGCACCUAGGCGAGGAUACAUAGCCGAAAUGAGAGGGUGAUCGGCCACACUGAGAGUGAGACCGGGCACAUAGUCACACGGGAGGCACCAGUAGGGAAUCUGGGGCAAUGGACGAGAGUCUGACCGAGAAACGCCGAGUGAGUGAAGAAGGUUUUCGGAUCGUAAAGGUCUGUUGUAAGGGUAGAACGGGUGUGAGAGUGGAAAGUUCACUCUGUGACGGUAUCUUACCAGAAAGGGACGGCUAACUACGUG